AUUGAACGCUGGCGGCAGGCCUAACACAUGCAAGUCGAACGGUAGCACAGAGGAGCUUGCUCCUUGGGUGACGAGUGGCGGACGGGUGAGUAAUGUCUGGGAAACUGCCUGAUGGAGGGGGAUAACUACUGGAAACGGUAGCUAAUACCGCAUAAUGUCGCAAGACCAAAGAGGGGGACCUUCGGGCCUCUUGCCAUCAGAUGUGCCCAGAUGGGAUUAGCUAGUAGGUGGGGUAAUGGCUCACCUAGGCGACGAUCCCUAGCUGGUCUGAGGGGAUGACCAGCCACACUGGAACUGAGACACGGUCCAGACUCCUACGGGAGGCAGCAGUGGGGAAUAUUGCACAAUGGGCGCAAGCCUGAUGCAGCCAUGCCGCGUGUAUGAAGAAGGCCUUCGGGUUGUAAAGUACUUUCAGCGGGGAGGAAGGCGAUACGGUUAAUAACCGUGUCGAUUGACGUUACCCGCAGAAGAAGCACCGGCUAACUCCGUGCCAGCAGCCGCAGUAA
This 506-nucleotide ribosomal RNA is filed under the name uncultured bacterium. Its description in RNAcentral is "partial 16S ribosomal RNA". It matches the Rfam family "Bacterial small subunit ribosomal RNA", at positions 30 to 523 of the family's 1533-position model. The record is from RNAcentral.